This 403-nucleotide ribosomal RNA is filed under the name Bacillus pumilus. RNAcentral describes it as "bacterial SSU rRNA". It matches the Rfam family "Bacterial small subunit ribosomal RNA", at positions 34 to 426 of the family's 1533-position model. The record is from RNAcentral. Lineage: Bacteria; Bacillati; Bacillota; Bacilli; Caryophanales; Bacillaceae.
GCGUAUGAGGUAGUCCUAGUACAUGCAAGUCGAGCGGACAGAAGGGAGCUUGCUCCCGGAUGUUAGCGGCGGACGGGUGAGUAACACGUGGGUAACCUGCCUGUAAGACUGGGAUAACUCCGGGAAACCGGAGCUAAUACCGGAUAGUUCCUUGAACCGCAUGGUUCAAGGAUGAAAGACGGUUUCGGCUGUCACUUACAGAUGGACCCGCGGCGCAUUAGCUAGUUGGUGAGGUAACGGCUCACCAAGGCGACGAUGCGUAGCCGACCUGAGAGGGUGAUCGGCCACACUGGGACUGAGACACGGCCCAGACUCCUACGGGAGGCAGCAGUAGGGAAUCUUCCGCAAUGGACGAAAGUCUGACGGAGCAACGCCGCGUGAGUGAUGAAGGUUUUCGGAUCGU